This 2142-nucleotide long non-coding RNA is filed under the name Canis lupus familiaris (dog). RNAcentral's name for it is "lncRNA (ENSCAFG00030006357.1)". The record is from RNAcentral. Lineage: Eukaryota; Metazoa; Chordata; Mammalia; Carnivora; Canidae.
AUGCCAGGUGCAUUUGGAGAAAGAGAAAACUUGGGGACAGAGGAAGAAGAAAAGCCAAUAUUUGCUCUUGGUAUCUGUCUGUUAAAACAACUUAUGCAGAUCACACUGGAAGACCUGAAGAACAGAGAUCUUAUCAAGAUAUACAAGUUGGAUAUCAAAUUUGGCAGCAGUUCUGAAUUUCUUCCAGAGAGGACUAUACUGGUUAAGGAGAUUCAUCACUGAAAUACUGGGAUGAGAACUCUAAACUCUGUAUAAACUUAGAGGCUAACCAUUAUCAUACAUGAUUUGGUAGAUAUAUCUGGUGAUACUGAAGAUUCAUUUUACUUUCCCAUUUUGGCUUUAAUACAUAUGUGAAACCAAACCCUCUCCUCCCAUUUCUACCAUUGUCCCUUCAUCCUAGUUGCUCAUGCCACAGAACUGGAAAUCACUGUAGUUUCUCCUUUUUCUUUUUCUUUUUCUUUUUUUUAGUUUCUCCUUUUUCUUGAAGAGUUGCCUGUUGGGAGACAGUUCUCUAUGGGUUUCUUGCAUUUCUGCUAGUCAAGCAAGGCACUGAGUGCUAUUGUUCUGUAUGAUCUUAACAAGGAUGUUUGUAGAGUGAAGAGCCUUUAAAGAAGUAACAUGUUUUUCUGGAGCAAAAUUCAAAUAUGCUUAUAGUUAUGGAAGACACAGAUAGUGUCUCCUGCCAGAAGAAAGGGCAGGUAUGCUUAAUGCUCAUGCUAAAAGUUUUGGGUUCCCUAAACUCAGAGAUCUUUCCUUAUAAUGCCUUCUACUGCAUAUGCAGAUGUCAUCUGACCCUUCUUUGUGCUGCCUUAUAACCACAGAGACUCAGGGAACUGGCACCAAAAUGCAAAUAUCCUGGCUACUGCUAUUGUUAUGAGUAAUAGAUUCUCCUUUGUCUGACCCUGGAUACUUAUAUCUGCUAUCAGCGUUCAUGAAACUAUGGCAGGCUAAACUGUUAUCUUGAAAGUAGGGUAAAAUUUCCCAUCUUUUACAAUUCUUGACAUUUCCCUCACUUAUGUACCUACCCUUCCCCUAAACUGGGCACUGAAGUAUUUCCCUUUCAGAGCUCUAAAGUUCUUUUCCUUUGAAAUCCAAUUUCUGUAGCUAAUUAAUAACCUCCUAAAGACAAGUCUUGCCUUUCUCUCCUUAAUCAGUCCUCAAUGUUACUGUCAGAAUGAUCUUUCUAAAAUAAUAACUGUAGAUAAUUCUCCUGAUAAAAUCCUGCAUUGUCUUUCCCAGGAAAGUAAUGAUGUUAGGAUAAUUACAAAUUGCAUGGAAUGACAUCAAAGCUUUCAAGAACCACUCCCUUACCUAACACUUCUACUUAACUUCUCAUGUUCCCAAAGUGCAUAUUAUAUUCCAAUCCUAGAGAAAUAUGGAUUCUUUAAAUUCCCAAUACUCUUCCAUAGUCUUGCCUUUGUACAUACUAGAACAAUCCAUCGCACUUCCCAUCCCAUCCUGGCUGGUAAAUCCUUUCCAUCAGUCAGAAGUCAACUAAAGUUCUCUUUUACAAAGAAAUUUUUCCUGACAUCUCACUCCCCAAAAUGAUAUAGAUAUAUAUCUCUUGCUUCUACAAUAUCUUAAACACACCUCCAAAAUUGUAUUUAUAGUAUUAUAUCAUAAUGUUGGCUUAUUCAUCUUCAAAAUUAUAUUUAAUUAUACUUAAUGCUUGUUCAUUAUCUGCUAAAGAAGAAAGCCAUAUCUUGUAUCUUCUAGGUAUCACAUAGUUUCCAGAAAAUGUAAGUGUUCGUUAAAUCCUUUCUUAGAUAUAUAAUUGAGUAUAUAGUGAAUGAGUGAAGCAGAAUGUAGACUUGUUCUGGAAAGAGACAUAUAUCUAAAUUCUUAAUAUGAGGGUUAUUGAUGUAGCUAUCUUUGGUAUAUGCAGAACAUAGAUCAACCUUUCACUACCUGUUGUUUAUAAUAAUUGCUGACAUUAUCCAUAUGAGAAUUAUAAAUAUCAUCAAUGAAUUGACCGUUCAAUAAUUUCUAGGCCUCUGUUGACACAGCUGGCCUUGGUCUAUGUUACUAACUUUAUGCCAAUCAGUUUGAAAAAACUUGUAUUAGUGAUUGCAACAGCUCUACAUGAAAGAAUCCAAGUUGAAUAGUAAAAAUAGGAUCUCCCAGAGUUGCAUUGCCGGAAAU